RNAcentral lists this non-coding RNA (21 nucleotides) under Arabidopsis thaliana (thale cress). The record is from RNAcentral. Lineage: Eukaryota; Viridiplantae; Streptophyta; Magnoliopsida; Brassicales; Brassicaceae.
UUAUUGGACCUUGUGCUAUGC